This 227-nucleotide ribosomal RNA is filed under the name uncultured bacterium. RNAcentral describes it as "partial 16S ribosomal RNA". It matches the Rfam family "Bacterial small subunit ribosomal RNA", at positions 260 to 504 of the family's 1533-position model. The record is from RNAcentral.
ACGGCCCACCAAGGCGACGAUCAGUAGCCGACCUGAGAGGGUGACCGGCCACAUUGGGACUGAGACACGGCCCAGACUCCUACGGGAGGCAGCAGUGGGGAAUAUUGCGCAAUGGGGGCAACCCUGACGCAGCAACGCCGCGUGAGUGAAGAAGUAUUUCGGUAUGUAAAGCUCUAUCAGCAGGGAAGAAAAUGACGGUACCUGACUAAGAAGCCCCGGCUAACUAC